This 300-nucleotide long non-coding RNA is filed under the name Ananas comosus (pineapple). RNAcentral's name for it is "long non-coding RNA (ACOM_LNC042952)". The record is from RNAcentral. Lineage: Eukaryota; Viridiplantae; Streptophyta; Magnoliopsida; Poales; Bromeliaceae.
AACUAAACAUUCAACUGGUACUAUGAUUCAUUUUGAUCAUAUACAUUGCAUUCAUUACAUCAUUUCAUCAUUUCUUUUACAUCACAUUUACCUCAAAAUGAACAUUACAUUCUUUUCUUUACUUUGCUUUAUACAUCAACAUCUUAAAUCAUCAAAUACAAAAGAUGAUCAUAAGGUACUUUACUACAAAAUGAAAUCCAACAUUGGUGGCCUCUGACUAAGGCGCGAUACCUUUACCGCGGUCGCUCGCCGGCUCGCUCGGUCCCGGCUCUGUGGAAAUAGUGGGGUGAGAACUACAAC